GUGGCCGUAGCUCAGCCCGGUUAGAGCACCUGGUUGUGGUCCAGGAAGUCGGGGGUUCAAAUCCCCUCGGUCACCCCA
This 78-nucleotide transfer RNA is filed under the name Acidimicrobiia bacterium. Its description in RNAcentral is "tRNA-His". It matches the Rfam family "tRNA". From Rfam's summary of the family: Transfer RNA (tRNA) molecules are approximately 80 nucleotides in length. Their secondary structure includes four short double-helical elements and three loops (D, anti-codon, and T loops). The record is from RNAcentral. RNAcentral also lists the same sequence under 2 other names. Lineage: Bacteria; Bacillati; Actinomycetota; Acidimicrobiia.